Molecule: ribosomal RNA, 468 nt
Filed under: uncultured bacterium
Lineage: Bacteria
Description: partial 16S ribosomal RNA
Rfam family: Bacterial small subunit ribosomal RNA
Source: RNAcentral
GACGAACGCUGGCGGCGUGCUUAACACAUGCAAGUCGAACGGAAAGGCCCUGCUUUUGUGGGGUGCUCGAGUAGCGAACGGGUGAGUAACACGUGAGUAACCUGCCCUUGACUUUGGGAUAACUUCAGGAAACUGGGGCUAAUACCGGAUAGGAGCUCCUGCUGCAUGGUGGGGGUUGGAAAGUUUCGGCGGUUGGGGAUGGACUCGCGGCUUAUCAGCUUGUUGGUGGGGUAGUGGCUUACCAAGGCUUUGACGGGUAGCCGGCCUGAGAGGGUGACCGGCGACAUUGGGACUGAGAUACGGCCCAGACUCCUACGGGAGGCAGCAGUGAGGAAUAUUGCACAAUGGGCGGAAGCCUGAUGCAGCAACGCCGCGUGCGGGAUGACGGCCUUCGGGUUGUAAACCGCUUUCGCCUGUGACGAAGCGUGAGUGACGGUAAUGGGUAAAGAAGCACCGGCUAACUACGUG